Molecule: non-coding RNA, 465 nt
Filed under: Schistosoma curassoni
Lineage: Eukaryota; Metazoa; Platyhelminthes; Trematoda; Strigeidida; Schistosomatidae
Description: Eukaryotic small subunit ribosomal RNA
Rfam family: Eukaryotic small subunit ribosomal RNA
Source: Rfam by way of RNAcentral
AUGUUAGUAGUACAAAAUAAGAUGACGGAUUUCCAACUGUUAUUCAGGCUUGACUACUUGUAUGAUCCCUCGUUCAAUAAUUUACCGUCAUUAAGUGUUAAAUUUUCAUCGAUCUGUAAGCAUCUGCUACGAAACCAGUAUUUUUUUAGUGAAGUAUAAUUUCGAAUUGUUGUAUUGUGCGGUAUUGGAUACGCUGUUUAUUUAUUUAUUUGAACACAUAAAUAUUUUUUGAAACGGGCACCGAAUACAUAUGCGCCAUACAUGUCAAUUGAUUUGUGUGUGAGCUGUGAUACUACCCGGGUGCUCAGACCGAAUGUUUUCAUUGAUCAGGAGCGAAAGUCAGAAUUUCGAAGACGAUCAGAUACCGUCGUAGUUCUGACCAUAAACGAUGCAAACUGACGAUCCGCGUUUGUUCUAUAAUUGACAUCACGAGCAGUCCCCGGGAAAACUUGAAGUCUUCGGGCU